This 216-nucleotide ribosomal RNA is filed under the name Glomeromycotina sp. RNAcentral describes it as "partial small subunit ribosomal RNA". The stretch from base 40 to 216 matches the Rfam family "Eukaryotic small subunit ribosomal RNA", at positions 686 to 864 of the family's 1831-position model. Lineage: Eukaryota; Fungi; Glomeromycota. The record is from RNAcentral.
GGGUCAGUAGGUUGGUCGUGCCACCGGUACGUACUGGUCUCACUGAUUCCUCCUUCCUGAAGAACCGUAAUGCCAUUAAUUUGGUGUUGCGGGGAAACAGGACUGUUACUUUGAAAAAAUUAGAGUGUUUAAAGCAAGCUAACGCUUGAAUACGUUAGCAUGGAAUAAUGAAAUAGGACGACCGAUCCUAGUUUGUUGGUUUCUAGGAUUGACGUA